This is a long non-coding RNA of Girardinichthys multiradiatus, 1087 nucleotides long. RefSeq lists it as uncharacterized. The record is from RefSeq and is a predicted model, not a curated record. The transcript has 3 exons. NCBI's taxonomy places the organism in Eukaryota, Metazoa, Chordata, Actinopteri, Cyprinodontiformes, Goodeidae.
AUCAUCCUGAGCCUGAUAAUGAGGGCUGUUUAAAAUAAACAGUCUUCUCAAAAUAGAAAACAACUAGGGCUCAAAAGUGGCUGCCAACUGCCAUCUUUUAAGGACAAUCAUCACUGGUGGGUCACAUUGGAAAUGGAGAUUGUGGAACUAAUAAGUCUUGGAGCUGAAGUUGUGAUGACUAGCAUCGCUGUAGGCGAAGCCAUAAGUAAAUUAGCACCAUGCAGAGAAUGCAACAUUCAGAUUACCAAUUUUUCAGACCACUACGUUCUCACAAAUCCUGGGAUGUUCCUCUGCAGGGGAGCCUGCAUUAGUUCUUUGCCUCCUAAAAUUCUACCAUCUGGAUCUGGAGGUGUGCUUUUUGCCAAGACGACCCUCACAGGACGUGGAUUUUCUUGCAUUAUCACCUAUGAUCUUCUCAACAGUACCACUGGAAAAACCACUGAGCAAAUGGCCGUGUUCUUCAAGGUUCCGUAUGAUCUAAACUUGAAGGCAAAUGAAUAUGCAGUGGGGGUCUUUGACAUUUGCAAGGGUUGUAAUGUAAAUCUGCAUGAAGAAAUGGCAAAUAAAAUGGACAACACAUUCAUUAGAGGCCAAGCCAUGGGCCCCUCUCUGACCCACGUAAACCAAGAUGUCACUAUAAGUGCUACAAUGUCAGAUAGCUAUUCUUCUGUGAUAAAAGUGAAUUUGAGCAACAACUAAGAAACAUUUGAUUUUUUUAACAAAUCCCUCAGAUAAAAUUAUUUCGUUUUAGUGGGGAGCAGGAAAAGGCAUUAAAAUGAUUGUCCUAAAUCAGAAUAAGUGGAUAAAACACAACAAACGUGCUUAAAGGAUUUAGUUCUAGCAGUAGCACUACUUUGUUAAAUUUGCACAAAAGUCAUGGUUUAAGGUAAAUAUCUGAGGCAAUUUUUUUUUUUUUUUUCCCCCAUUUCACAUGUCAAAGAUUUUUGCAAUAUAAUUGUAACUGGUGUUACUGAUCAUGAGCCUUUGCCUUUAAUAUUUUUUUUUUACCGGACAUUUCUUAACUCUUAUGUUGAAAGUAAUACUGGUUUGUGAUUUUCAUAUCAGAAUAAACAAACCUCCAAUAGCA